UACGGAGGGGACUAGCGUUGUUCGGAAUCACUGGGCGUAAAGGGUGCGUAGGCGGGUCUUUAAGUCAGGGGUGAAAUCCUGGAGCUCAACUCCAGAACUGCCUUUGAUACUGAAGAUCUUGAGUUCGGGAGAGGUGAGUGGAACUGCGAGUGUAGAGGUGAAAUUCGUAGAUAUUCGCAAGAACACCAGUGGCGAAGGCGGCUCACUGGCCCGGUACUGACGCUGAGGUGCGAAAGCGUGGGGAGCAAGCAGGG
Molecule: ribosomal RNA, 254 nt
Filed under: uncultured bacterium
Lineage: Bacteria
Description: partial 16S ribosomal RNA
Rfam family: Bacterial small subunit ribosomal RNA
Source: RNAcentral